GGAGCGGCGGCAGCAUAAGAUGGACAAGGCUGCGAAGCAGGUGUCGGCGAUUUCGGUGGAGGUCGACAGGCUCAUCGCUAAGGUCACUGCCUUGGAGGCAAUUGUGUCUAAAGGCAGCAAGGUGGUCGAGAAAGACAUACUUCAGCUUAUUGAGCUGCUAAUGGCACAGCUGAUUCAACUCGAUGGAGUUGUUGCCGACGGGGAUGCCAAGGUGCAGAGGGGAUUGCAGGUUAGGAGAGUUCAGAGGUAUGUGGAGGUGCUCGAUGCAAUCAAAAUCAAGAACGAAGACCAAACACAACCGAAUCCACCACAGAAACCACAGACGAUGCAUCCUAAGCCCCUGCAGAAACCACCGAAGACAACACAUUCUAAGCCCCAGCAGCAGCCACUGCCAUCUGCAGCGACGGAGACGACGAAGUGGGAGACGUUCGACUCGCUAUUCUCCCCAUCCACUUCGACGGUCACCUCAAAGGCGGCGACUCCGGUGCCAAGAUUCAAAUGGGAGUUAUUUUGAUGUGGAGUAGAGAGCUUGCAAC
This 536-nucleotide unclassified non-coding RNA is filed under the name Hevea brasiliensis (rubber tree). Lineage: Eukaryota; Viridiplantae; Streptophyta; Magnoliopsida; Malpighiales; Euphorbiaceae. The record is from RNAcentral.